GGCCAUCAUAAUUCUACAACUCAAAAGAUGGGCAUCAGCAAUCAAUAGAACUUGCCAAAACGUUUAGAUGCAUAGAAUUAUAAUAACUGCUCACAUCAACAAAGCAAUCUAACAUGAUCGUUAACACUUAAACUUCGUACACCUCUUUUGACGACGGUCAGCACAUCUACAUGAAUAUAUCUGCAUAGAUAGCCAUUUGGCCAUCAUCUUAAUAGACAUUGAUUAUUCAAUCUGAAUAAAUAUCCUUGCAGCACCAACACAACCUGAACUAUAACCAAAAGAUGCACAGACAUACAAACAGAAAGGCAAGCAAGCAGGUAGGCACGGAUGCAUGCAUAUAAUC
RNAcentral lists this long non-coding RNA (343 nucleotides) under Elaeis guineensis (African oil palm). RNAcentral's name for it is "long non-coding RNA (EGUI_LNC000828)". The record is from RNAcentral. Lineage: Eukaryota; Viridiplantae; Streptophyta; Magnoliopsida; Arecales; Arecaceae.